UACGUAGGGUGCGUGCGUUAAUCGGAUUUACUGGGCGUAAAGCGUGCGCAGGCGGCCCGUUAAGACAGGUGUGAAAUCCCUGGGCUCAACCUAGGAAUUGCGCUUGUGACUGGCGGGCUCGAGUACGGUAGAGGGGGGUGGAAUUCCUGGUGUAGCAGUGAAAUGCGUAGAGAUCAGGAGGAACACCGAUGGCGAAGGCAGCCCCCUGGGCCUGUACUGACGCUCAUGCACGAAAGCGUGGGGAGCAAACAGG
RNAcentral lists this ribosomal RNA (253 nucleotides) under uncultured microorganism. Its description in RNAcentral is "partial 16S ribosomal RNA". It matches the Rfam family "Bacterial small subunit ribosomal RNA", at positions 524 to 776 of the family's 1533-position model. The record is from RNAcentral.